AUUGAACGCUGGCGGCAGGCCUAACACAUGCAAGUCGAGCGGAGCGGCGGACGGGGGAGUAAUGCCUAGGUAUCUGCCUGGUAGUGGGGGAUAACGUCCGGAACCGGGCGCUAAUCCCGCAUCCUCUCAGAUGAGCCUAGGUCGGAUUAGCUAGUUGGUGGGGUAAAGGCCUACCAAGGCGACGAUCCGGAACUGGUCUGAGAGGAUGAUCAGUCACACUGGAACUGAGACACGGUCCAGACUCCUACGGGAGGCAGCAGUGGGGAAUAUUGGACAAUGGGCGCAAGCCUGAUCCAGCCAUGCCGCGUGUGUGAAGAAGGUCUUCGGAUUGUAAAGCACUUUAAGUUGGGAGGCGUUACCCACAGAAGAAGCACCGGCUAACUUCGUGCCAGCAGCCGCGGUAAUAC
Molecule: ribosomal RNA, 407 nt
Filed under: uncultured bacterium
Lineage: Bacteria
Description: partial 16S ribosomal RNA
Rfam family: Bacterial small subunit ribosomal RNA
Source: RNAcentral